CGCCAGACUCCUACGGGAGGCAGCAGUGGGGGAUAUUGCACAAUGGGGGAAACCCUGAUGCAGCGACGCCGCGUGAGCGAUGAAGUAUUUCGGUAUGUAAAGCUCUAUCAGCAGGGAAGAAGAUGACGGUACCUGACUAAGAAGCCCCGGCUAACUACGUGCCAGCAGCCGCGGUAAUACGUAGGGGGCAAGCGUUAUCCGGAUUUACUGGGUGUAAAGGGAGCGUAGACGGCGAUGCAAGCCAGAUGUGAAAGCCCGGGGCUCAACCCCGGGACUGCAUUUGGAACUGUGUGGCUGGAGUGUCGGAGAGGCAGGCGGAAUUCCUAGUGUAGCGGUGAAAUGCGUAGAUAUUAGGAGGAACACCAGUGGCGAAGGCGGCCUGCUGGACGAUGACUGACGUUGAGGCUCGAAGGCGUGGGGAGCAAACAGGAUUAGAUACCCCCGUA
Molecule: ribosomal RNA, 446 nt
Filed under: uncultured bacterium
Lineage: Bacteria
Description: bacterial SSU rRNA
Rfam family: Bacterial small subunit ribosomal RNA
Source: RNAcentral